RNAcentral lists this ribosomal RNA (253 nucleotides) under uncultured bacterium. RNAcentral describes it as "partial 16S ribosomal RNA". It matches the Rfam family "Bacterial small subunit ribosomal RNA", at positions 524 to 776 of the family's 1533-position model. The record is from RNAcentral.
UACGUAGGGUGCAAGCGUUAAUCGGAAUUACUGGGCGUAAAGCGUGCGCAGGCGGUUUUGUAAGACUGUCGUGAAAUCCCCGGGCUUAACCUGGGAAUGGCGAUGGUGACUGCAAGGCUAGAGUUUGGCAGAGGGGGGUAGAAUUCCACGUGUAGCAGUGAAAUGCGUAGAGAUGUGGAGGAAUACCGAUGGCGAAGGCAGCCCCCUGGGUCAAUACUGACGCUCAUGCACGAAAGCGUGGGGAGCAAACAGG